CGGUAGCUCAGUUGGAUAGAGUAACUGGCUACGAACCAGUAGGUCGGGGGUUCGAAUCCCUUCCGGC
This 67-nucleotide transfer RNA is filed under the name pig gut metagenome. It matches the Rfam family "tRNA", at positions 5 to 66 of the family's 71-position model. Rfam says of the family: Transfer RNA (tRNA) molecules are approximately 80 nucleotides in length. Their secondary structure includes four short double-helical elements and three loops (D, anti-codon, and T loops). The record is from RNAcentral.